RNAcentral lists this ribosomal RNA (130 nucleotides) under uncultured bacterium. RNAcentral describes it as "partial 16S ribosomal RNA". It matches the Rfam family "Bacterial small subunit ribosomal RNA", at positions 394 to 525 of the family's 1533-position model. The record is from RNAcentral.
ACGCCGCGUGAAGGAAGAAGGCCCUCUGGUUGUAAACUUCUGUAGAGUGGGAAGAAUUUUCGCUUCUGGCGAAUUGACGGUACCACUAAAGUAAGGGUCGGCUAACUACGUGCCAGCAGCCGCGGUAAUA